Long non-coding RNA from Zonotrichia leucophrys gambelii, 623 nucleotides. RefSeq lists it as uncharacterized. Lineage: Eukaryota; Metazoa; Chordata; Aves; Passeriformes; Passerellidae. The record is from RefSeq and is a predicted model, not a curated record. The transcript has 4 exons.
AGAUUCUUGCAGCCUUCUGAAGGGAUGUUACUCUGUGUGGGCAGAUGCCUGAAGCCUUCUGAUGAGCUGGACAAGGGUCUGAUCCUGGCUGAUCUUCAUCCAUGCAGAAGCUGUGAGCUGUGGACAGGAGUGAGUGUGGCCUCUUGGAAUAGUCAGAAGUGGAUUUUGAGAAGUGAAAGGCUCAGCAAUGCCUAAAUCCCACACAUUGGACAAGGCUCCCAGGAAAGACACAUGGAGAGGGUCACAGGUGCUGAGAGGGCACAGAAUGGCACUGCUGACUAAAGCAAGGCAGAGUGGAAAGCUGCACUCUUGAAUUUCACACCUGGAAACCUGCCAAACAAGAAGGAACCUCAACCAGCCUCGCUGCUCUCCUGUUGAGGUGCCGUCUGUUCGCUCACAUUUGCCAGCCCCUGUCCUUCCCUGAAGAUGCCCUGCCAAGAGCCCUGCCAUGCCCUGUCUGGGCUGAAGGUCUGCAUGGCAGUGCUCAGACCUGUGCUUGUGAUGCCCCUGUCCUGCACUGGUUCAAAUGGCUCUGAAAGAGCAUCUGUGUCUUCAGCACACACAGCUACUCGUUCAGGAGGUGAGUACAGUGCUUUUUGUUUACAUUCAAAGCCUGGCUUUGA